UGCGUAGGUGGUUAUUUAAGUCCGUUGUGAAAGCCCUGGGCUCAACCUGGGAACUGCAGUGGAUACUGGGCGACUAGAGUGUGGUAGAGGGUAGCGGAAUUCCUGGUGUAGCAGUGAAAUGCGUAGAGAUCAGGAGGAACAUCCAUGGCGAAGGCAGCUACCUGGACCAACACUGGCACUGAGGCACGAAAGCGUGGGAGCAAACA
Molecule: ribosomal RNA, 206 nt
Filed under: uncultured bacterium
Lineage: Bacteria
Description: partial 16S ribosomal RNA
Rfam family: Bacterial small subunit ribosomal RNA
Source: RNAcentral